GAUGAACGCUGGCGGCGUGCCUAAUACAUGCAAGUCGAGCGAACAGAUGAGGAGCUUGCUCCUCUGACGUUAGCGGCGGACGGGUGAGUAACACGUGGAUAACCUACCUAUAAGACUGGGGUAACUUCGGGAAACCGGAGCUAAUACCGGAUAAUAUAUUGAACCGCAUGGUUCAAUAGUGAAAGACGGUUUUGCUGUCACUUAUAGAUGGAUCCGCGCCGCAUUAGCUAGUUGGUAAGGUAACGGCUUACCAAGGCAACGAUGCGUAGCCGACCUGAGAGGGUGAUCGGCCACACUGGAACUGAGACACGGUCCAGACUCCUACGGGAGGCAGCAGUAGGGAAUCUUCCGCAAUGGGCGAAAGCCUGACGGAGCAACGCCGCGUGAGUGAUGAAGGUCUUCGGAUCGUAAAACUCUGUUAUUAGGGAAGAACAAAUGUGUAAGUAACUAUGCACGUCUUGACGGUACCUAAUCAGAAAGCCACGGCUAACUACGUG
RNAcentral lists this ribosomal RNA (497 nucleotides) under uncultured bacterium. RNAcentral's name for it is "partial 16S ribosomal RNA". It matches the Rfam family "Bacterial small subunit ribosomal RNA", at positions 28 to 507 of the family's 1533-position model. The record is from RNAcentral.